AUCUAGCAGACGAGUCCGAAAUAAGACGAAACGUGAGUCCUGGAU
Schistosoma mansoni is the source of this 45-nucleotide non-coding RNA. The record is from Rfam. NCBI's taxonomy places the organism in Eukaryota, Metazoa, Platyhelminthes, Trematoda, Strigeidida, Schistosomatidae.